AGGCCUAACACAUGCAAGUCGAGCGGUAGAGAGGUGCUUGCAUCUCUUGAGAGCGGCGGACGGGUGAGUAAUGCCUAGGAAUCUGCCUAGUGGUGGGGGAUAACGUUCGGAAACGGACGCUAAUACCGCAUACGUCCUACGGGAGAAAGCGGGGGAUCUUCGGACCUCGCGCCAUUAGAUGAGCCUAGGUCGGAUUAGCUAGUUGGUGAGGUAAUGGCUCACCAAGGCGACGAUCCGUAACUGGUCUGAGAGGAUGAUCAGUCACACUGGAACUGAGACACGGUCCAGACUCCUACGGGAGGCAGCAGUGGGGAAUAUUGGACAAUGGGCGAAAGCCUGAUCCAGCCAUGCCGCGUGUGUGAAGAAGGUCUUCAGAUUGUAAAGCACUUUAAGUUGGGAGGAAGGGCAGUAAGUUAAUACGUUGCUACUUUGACGUUACCGACAGAAUAAGCACCGGCUAACUUCGUG
This 468-nucleotide ribosomal RNA is filed under the name uncultured bacterium. RNAcentral describes it as "bacterial SSU rRNA". It matches the Rfam family "Bacterial small subunit ribosomal RNA", at positions 44 to 507 of the family's 1533-position model. The record is from RNAcentral.